Molecule: ribosomal RNA, 483 nt
Filed under: uncultured bacterium
Lineage: Bacteria
Description: bacterial SSU rRNA
Rfam family: Bacterial small subunit ribosomal RNA
Source: RNAcentral
AUUGAACGCUGGCGGAAUGCUUUACACAUGCAAGUCGAACGGGCAGGCACGGGGCAACCUGGUGGCGAGUGGCGAACGGGUGAGUAAUACAUCGGAACGUGCCCAAUCGUGGGGGAUAACGUAGCGAAAGUUACGCUAAUACCGCAUACGAUCUACGGAUGAAAGCGGGGGAUCGCAAGACCUCGCGCGAAUGGAGCGGCCGAUGUCAGAUUAGGUAGUUGGUGGGGUAAAGGCUCACCAAGCCGACGAUCUGUAGCUGGUCUGAGAGGACGACCAGCCACACUGGGACUGAGACACGGCCCAGACUCCUACGGGAGGCAGCAGUGGGGAAUUUUGGACAAUGGGCGCAAGCCUGAUCCAGCCAUUCCGCGUGCAGGAUGAAGGCCUUCGGGUUGUAAACUGCUUUUGUACGGAACGAAACGGUUCUCUCUAAUACAGGGGCUAAUGACGGUACCGUAAGAAUAAGCACCGGCUAACUACGUG